GAAAGGGGUAAUAUUGCUCCCAAGAUCAGUACUCUCAAACGGCAAUAUCCCAUGACCAGGCUUACGGAAACCAAAGGGAGUAGGAGAAAAAUCAAGAAAGUCUUCGACAUGCCAUCCAGGUAGCGUCUCAAUCAAGUAUUCUGAUAUACUGCUUGUGGAACCAAUCCCUUCAUUUAUUACCAGAUUAUCCCCAUCCUUGUUCACCACCGUCGUGUCUCUGGAUAAGGCCUUAUUCACUGUUGAGUUUGGAGAUGAGGUCUUAGCGAGUGAAGGCGGAUUAGAACUUGGGAGGGAGAAGGACACCGGUUUCUUCGUCGAUGACUGUUGUUGAGACUUGGAAUCAAAAACAAGAUCACCGCCGUUGGUUACAGAGGAGGAGGGUACAUAAAACGCAGAGGUGGCGGAGAGCUUAACCCCAGUAAGAAGGAACCUGUUAUGCUUCUGGGUAUGCUCGUUG
RNAcentral lists this unclassified non-coding RNA (457 nucleotides) under Hevea brasiliensis (rubber tree). The record is from RNAcentral. Lineage: Eukaryota; Viridiplantae; Streptophyta; Magnoliopsida; Malpighiales; Euphorbiaceae.